CCCUUAGAUGUUCUGGGCUGCACGCGUGCUACAAUGGCGCUUGCAACAAGAUUGCCAACCCGAAAGGGUGAGCGGAUCUUUGAAGUGGCGUCGUGAUCGGGACAGUUGAUUGCAAUUAUUCGACUCGAACGAGGAAUUCCUUGUAAUCGCGAUUCAUCAUAUCGCGCUGAAUACGUCCCUGCCCUUUAUACACACCGCCCGUCGCUCCUACCGAUUGAGCGAUCCGGUGAAUGUUUUGGACUGGUGUCCGCAAGCGUUUCGCUUCGGACGCUACGAAAUUUUGUAAACCUUAUCGCUUAGAGGAAGGAAAAGUCGUAACA
RNAcentral lists this ribosomal RNA (320 nucleotides) under uncultured eukaryote. Its description in RNAcentral is "partial 18S ribosomal RNA". It matches the Rfam family "Eukaryotic small subunit ribosomal RNA", at positions 1470 to 1796 of the family's 1831-position model. The record is from RNAcentral.